Molecule: ribosomal RNA, 119 nt
Filed under: Pteropus alecto (black flying fox)
Lineage: Eukaryota; Metazoa; Chordata; Mammalia; Chiroptera; Pteropodidae
Source: RNAcentral
GUCUACGGCCUCGCCCCGCUGAACGAGCCCGGUCCCGUCUGAUCUCGGAAGCUCAGCAGGGUCGGGCCUGGUUAGUACUUGGAUGGGAGACCAGCUGGGAAGACGGGGUGCUGUAGGCG